AGAUUGAACGCUGGCGGCAGGCCUAACACAUGCAAGUCGAGCGGUAGAGAGGUGCUUGCACCUCUUGAGAGCGGCGGGCGGGUGAGUAAUGCCUAGGAAUCUGCCUAGUGGUGGGGGAUAACGUUCGGAAACGGACGCUAAUACCGCAUACGUCCUACGGGAGAAAGCGGGGGACCUUCGGGCCUCGCGCCAUUAGAUGAGCCUAGGUCGGAUUAGCUAGUUGGUGAGGUAAUGGCUCACCAAGGCGACGAUCCGUAACUGGUCUGAGAGGAUGAUCAGUCACACUGGAACUGAGACGACGGUCCAGACCUCCGUACGGGAGCAGCAGGUGGGAAUAUGGACAGUGGGCGAAAGCCUGACUCCGAGCCAGUCGCCGCGUGGUGUCGAAGGAACGGUCGUUACGGAGUUA
This 409-nucleotide ribosomal RNA is filed under the name uncultured soil bacterium. Its description in RNAcentral is "bacterial SSU rRNA". It matches the Rfam family "Bacterial small subunit ribosomal RNA", at positions 26 to 431 of the family's 1533-position model. The record is from RNAcentral.